AUGGACCUGGUCGUGCCCAUACCAUACGUCCCCGACGAGAAGGGCUACGCCUUCGCGCUCAAGGACGACAGCGCCUACAGCUUCCGCUUCUUGUUCAUCGUCUCCAACAACAUUGUGUCGGGGCUCAAGUACACCAACACCGUCUGGAAGACUGGAGUAAGAGGGCAUAGAGGUUCCGCUGGUAACAAGUUCCGAAUGUCGCCGGGUCUGCCGGUUGCAGCCACUGUCAACUGCGCUGAUAACACUAGUGCCAAGAACCUCUACAUCAUCUCUGUGAAGGUAAUCAAGGGGCGCCUGAAUAGGCUCCCUUCUGCCUGCGUUGAUGACAUGGUUAUGGCCACUGUCAAGAAGGGCAAGCCAGACCUGAGGAAGAAAGUCAUGCCGGCUAUCAUUGUGAGACAGUGUAAGCCAUGUCACCAUAAGGACAAUGUCUUCAUGUACUUUGAAGGUGCUGGAGCAGCUGAGCGGACAGUCACCGUUGUUCUCCAAGGCGAGGUACAUUGUCAGGUCAUUCGGUAUCAGGCGUAA
RNAcentral lists this ribosomal RNA (528 nucleotides) under Triticum aestivum (bread wheat). RNAcentral's name for it is "partial small subunit ribosomal RNA". The record is from RNAcentral. Lineage: Eukaryota; Viridiplantae; Streptophyta; Magnoliopsida; Poales; Poaceae.